GGGGUGAUUAGCUCAGCUGGGAGAGCACCUCCCUUACAAGGAGGGGGUCGGCGGUUCGAUCCCGUCAUCACCCNN
This 75-nucleotide transfer RNA is filed under the name Salmonella enterica subsp. enterica serovar Typhi. RNAcentral's name for it is "tRNA-Val(tac)". It matches the Rfam family "tRNA". Rfam says of the family: Transfer RNA (tRNA) molecules are approximately 80 nucleotides in length. Their secondary structure includes four short double-helical elements and three loops (D, anti-codon, and T loops). The record is from RNAcentral. Lineage: Bacteria; Pseudomonadati; Pseudomonadota; Gammaproteobacteria; Enterobacterales; Enterobacteriaceae.